RNAcentral lists this ribosomal RNA (540 nucleotides) under Bacteroidetes bacterium oral taxon 281. Its description in RNAcentral is "bacterial SSU rRNA". It matches the Rfam family "Bacterial small subunit ribosomal RNA", at positions 434 to 975 of the family's 1533-position model. The record is from RNAcentral. Lineage: Bacteria; Pseudomonadati; Bacteroidota.
UUUGACGCAGAGCAAUAAGGGACACGCGUGUUCCGAUGAGAGUAUGCGUCGAAUAAGCAUCGGCUAACUCCGUGCCAGCAGCCGCGGUAAUACGGAGGAUGCGAGCGUUAUCCGGAUUUAUUGGGUUUAAAGGGUGCGUAGGCUGUUGGAUAAGUCAGCGGUGAAAUCACCACGCUUAACGUGUUGUGUGCCGUUGAAACUGUCCAGCUUGAAUGCGCUCGUCGUGAGAGGAAUGUGUGGUGUAGCGGUGAAAUGCAUAGAUAUCACACAGAACACCGAUUGCGAAGGCAUCUCACGAGGGCGCUAUUGACGCUGAUGCACGAAAGCGCGGGUAUCGAACAGGAUUAGAUACCCUGGUAGUCCGCGCUGUAAACGAUGAUGACUAACCGUUGGUCUGGUAUGGAUCAGUGGUCAAGCGAAAGCGUUAAGUCAUCCACCUGGGGAGUACGGGCGCAAGGCUGAAACUCAAAGGAAUUGACGGGGGCCCGCACAAGCGGAGGAACAUGUGGUUUAAUUCGAUGAUACGCGAGGAACCUUACC